Molecule: ribosomal RNA, 229 nt
Filed under: uncultured bacterium
Lineage: Bacteria
Description: partial 16S ribosomal RNA
Rfam family: Bacterial small subunit ribosomal RNA
Source: RNAcentral
UGCGUAGGCGGAAUAUUAAGUCAGUGGUGAAAUCCUGCGGCUCAACCGUAGAACUGCCAUUGAUACUGAUAUUCUUGAAUGUAGUUGAGGUAGGCGGAAUGUGUAAUGUAGCAGUGAAAUGCUUAGAUAUUACACAGAACACCGAUUGCGAAGGCAGCUUACUAAACUAUGAUUGACGCUGAGGCACGAAAGCGUGGGGAGCGAACAGGAUUAGAUACCCUGGUAGUCC